GACAGGAUUCUGUAGUGACGCGCUGCCCUCACGUGACGGGGAGCAGCAGAGUGACGCAGCCUUCGGUGCAGUCGUCAUUUGCGUCUGGGUACCGGUUCCCUGCUGCCCUCGCACGACGGGCUGGCAUCAGGCCCGGGGAAAGCGGGGCAGGACAAUAGUUCGGUGUGGCACUGUUUGUGGCGAGGCGAGGGGAGAAAGAGAGGAGAAAACUGCCCCAAUCUGUGGAGGUCUUCCUGUAAGCCUACAGUAAGACCUUCCUGCUGGAAGCAAGGGAAAGAAGGGGAGACUGGCCUGGAACCCUGGAGAUCUGCCUGUAGGUCUCCUGUAGGGCUUGAUGAUAACACUGGAAGCAAAUAAGCAGGGAGGAAAAUGCUCCUGAUUAGUAUAGACUGGUAAGAGGCUGAAUACUGCCUGGGGAAACCUGUAGGGUGGGUUUGUGGAGAACAGCAUGCAUCC
RNAcentral lists this long non-coding RNA (456 nucleotides) under Dasypus novemcinctus (nine-banded armadillo). RNAcentral describes it as "lncRNA (ENSDNOG00000050003.1)". The record is from RNAcentral. Lineage: Eukaryota; Metazoa; Chordata; Mammalia; Cingulata; Dasypodidae.